AUGUACUGCCUUUCCACCCCCAGGCAGAAGCCUCCUGGCGCCCCCGUUGGACUCUCCGUUCUGGAGAGGAGCAAUUCUGAGGAAAUACCCUCCUACCUCUCUGACAACACCACGGUCACCUCGGCAGAUGAGGAGAAAGUGCUCCUGCUGAACAGGAACACGGAGCUCCGUCAGAGGAACAAGGAGGUGGGUGGAGAGUCUGGGCAGAGGAAGCGAAAAGGGGCCCCAGCCCCGGCCCCCCCAGGAAUGGAUCCAGCUGUGACCCAGCUGUGGAGUAACGGAGAGUAUCUUGGCAGGGGUGGGGCUGAGCUGAGCAGGAGAAAGGGCUGGAUCCAGCUAAGGCGAGACCCCCUCCCAGGAGAGGAGUGGGAGAAGUGCAGCAAACAGCCCCUGGGGCCUCCCAGACCCCCUCUUCCCCCUCCUCCUCUUCCUCCUCCUCCUCCUCUUCCUCUGAGCAGAAAGUGGGGGUCCCCAAACUCCAUUCCACCCCAGCCCCUCCUUGCCACCAGCCCACGGCACCCACCAGCCUCUCCUCUCCUUCUGCCCCUUGCAGCUGCUGGAGCUCAGCCGAGUCUGGCAUGCCACCUACCACUCCACCCGCGCGGGGCUGGAGCGCCAAGUGGCCGCCCUGCACGAGGACGUGGCCGCCCUCCGCGCACAAGCCUGCAAACUCUCUGCCCAGCUGGACCACGAGCAGGUGAAAGAGUGACACGCAGCCCUCCAGCCCCCACCCCCUCUGCCCUUCUCUGCAAGCUCAGGGCAGUGCCAACAUUGCGGGGGGCCACUGUCUGCAAGGGGUGCAGUGGGGCAGGGCAGAUGGCUGACUCCAGAGAUGGGCAGAGGGGUGGGGGAGGGAGGCACCCCAGCAAGGAAAAAGUGGACAAGGCAGCUGGGAGCCACGCAGGCAUCAGGUUGGCGAAGAGGGAGCUUGGCAGCCUUGGUGCAUGGUGUCUCUGUGUGUGUGGAAGGGGGUUGGUGGGAAUCCUGGAAGCCAGCCCCUCUGGAGUCGCCAGCCCCUCUGGCCGUCUCCUUUCCGCCACUCCACGGCCUCCCUUCAUCUCACCACUGCAGAGCCGGAGAGAGUAUUACGAAAACACCCUCUUCCAGGAGCUGAAACACAGCCAGGUCAUGCAGGAGUAUGUGAGGCAGCUGGAAGGGCAGCAGCUUUGCAGCCAGAGGCCCCCGGCUCCGGUGAGUGACCCCCUUUCCCUUGGGGUGGGGUGGGGGUGGGAGUGGGUGGGGGUUCCGUCCUUGCCAUGGAAAGUCAGCAGGGAGGAGAGACUUGGUGGCCUCCGGAAAGUUCUUCUGAAAGAGCCUGAGCCGGCAAGAAGGGAGGGGAAGGGCCCUCUCUUCUCCAUCCUGCGAGGCAUUCCCCCAUCCUGUCGGGGGGGGGCUCCUCUUAUUUUUUUGGUGGGAGUGGAGACAGAGAGUGCACAUCUCUGCCCUUCUCUCACUUCCUCCACCCAGAACAAAACCCCCUCGGGCCAGAGUUAG
This 1494-nucleotide long non-coding RNA is filed under the name Pogona vitticeps (central bearded dragon). RNAcentral's name for it is "lncRNA (ENSPVIG00000019450.1)". Lineage: Eukaryota; Metazoa; Chordata; Lepidosauria; Squamata; Agamidae. The record is from RNAcentral.